GAAUGCAUCCCCGUCCACCAGUUUGCGUCCUCUGUUUUGGGGACAAAAAGGGGAUCGGGAUCAAGGGAGCAAGUGGAGUUGGGUGGGCGGCGGCGGCGGAGAGCUUCUCCGAUUUGCGACGGCGCGACCAUGGCUAUGGAGUUUCCCGUCUCUCCGGUAGACAAGCUGCCAAUCUUCCCCGACGAGGCGGCAAGCGAUGCGGCCCUAAUGGAGUUGAUUGGUGCCGCCGGCGGCGGAGACGAUGAAUCGGCCAAUGGAUCCCGCGGGGGUUUGGUCGGCGGAGUUGGCCAUGGGUCAUAUGAGCAGAUCCUGAACGGAGGGAUGCGCAGUGAGGAGAGAACUGUAGCUGGUGGUGGCGCCGCCGUGCCUGGGUUCAGCGAGAGCGAGGGUGACAAUGAAGAAGCUCUUGACCAGGCGGAGCUAGGAGCAUACUUUGAUGAAGACCAGGAAGCUGUAAUUCAGGAUCGAACUCACAGUGCUGAUGGAGGUUCUGCUCAAUCCACAGGCAAGGUGGAUCCGCAAGCACCUGGCUGAGCAAAGAGAAUAAGAGUUGGCAAUCAACCACCGGGCAGAGCUCCAUGCCCGGAAAGGGUAGGCGUGCUUGAGCAGACUAUCAGGGGCUAUGCUGAUAAAUUAGGCGACCAUGUAGUUGAGCCUGCCAUUGGAUUAACUUUCGAUUCUUUGUGCGAAUCAUAUGAUUUUUAUAACCUAUAUUCCUGGGAGCAUGGUUUCGGAAUGCGGUACGGCAAAAGCCGCCUGAAUGCAGAGAAGACAAAGUGUAUGCAGGAAGUGGUUUGCGGCUGUUCGGGCAAACCGACAAAGGAGAACAGCAGGUCCUGUCGCUGUGAGUGUCCGGCCAUGAUUAGUCUGCUUAGAACAUCAGAUAAUGGCUGGUACAUUACAGAACACAGAGCAAACCGCAAACCAUGCUUUGACGCAGACAUGUGGGGAGAAGGUAAAUUGGCCACAUGGUGAAGGUACGAGAAACAACCAUUUUGUGUAAGUUUUUCGUGUGUGUUGGAUUGAGCUGCCGGUUUGUUCUAUGAUCUAGGUUAUGGGUGUUCUAGGCUAUACCGGGAUACCAGAAACUCUGAUACUCAAGAGGUGGACACAGGAUGCAAGGGAUGUUUUGCCGCCACACCUGAGGGUGUACCAGCGGGAUCAUGCUGGGGCCAGGACGAUGACAAAUCGGCACACAACACUUUAUGUGCACGCGAUGGAAUUGGUACAACUAGGGGAUGCAUCAGUGGAAGCAUAUGAGAAAGGAAUGAAGGUGAUCAGAGAUGGCAUUGCUGCUCUAGCUGAGUACGAGGAACAGAGGGAUGGACUGGGUCUUGAAGACAGGCCUGUAGAACAACGAUAUGCAGCUGAGCAGACAAAUGAACAAAUACGAGAUGAAGAGCGUGCUGCGGGUGUCGUGUAGGUGGACACUCUGGUUGGUCUUAGGGCACCAGAAAAGAAAAGAAAACAAAGGCGACCGACAAACAGCCGCGAGAAAGCGCCAUAUGAAGAGCUUAGCAAGCGUACUCGGUUUUGUAGCAUCUGCAAGAGGCAAAGGACACAAGAAGACAAGCUGUCAGGAGAGAGGCGACUUGCCUUAAGAAGCUGCGGAAAGAGGCGAGGUGUAGUAAUUGUGGUGUGGCCGGGCACAGGAAGAAUACUUGCACCGAUGCAGCAGCUGUGAAGCUUCAGACUGCACCUAGUUAGCUCUGAUAGAUUUAAAAAUAAAAAUUGUUUCUUGAUCAGUGUUUCCGAUGUAUUAUAACCUUAUUUGUGGAGUAGGUAGGGGCGGGGUGGAUCUUUGUUCUAGACAAUUAUAAUUAAUUUUGGGUUUUCCAAUAUGUGCUACACAUGAAGAUAAAUCUUUUUUUAGGGAAAA
Aegilops tauschii subsp. strangulata is the source of this 1879-nucleotide non-coding RNA. Lineage: Eukaryota; Viridiplantae; Streptophyta; Magnoliopsida; Poales; Poaceae. The record is from RefSeq and is a predicted model, not a curated record.